GGAGAGAUGGCUCAGCGGUUAAGAGCAUUGACUGCUCUUCCAGAGGUCCUGAGUUCAAUUCCCAGCAACCACA
RNAcentral lists this transfer RNA (73 nucleotides) under Mus musculus (house mouse). RNAcentral describes it as "tRNA-Ser". The record is from RNAcentral. Lineage: Eukaryota; Metazoa; Chordata; Mammalia; Rodentia; Muridae.